GAUGAACGCUGGCGGCGUGCCUAAUACAUGCAAGUCGAGCGAACAGACGAGGAGCUUGCUCCUCUGACGUUAGCGGCGGACGGGUGAGUAACACGUGGAUAACCUACCUAUAAGACUGGGAUAACUUCGGGAAACCGGAGCUAAUACCGGAUAAUAUAUUGAACCGCAUGGUUCAAUAGUGAAAGACGGUUUUGCUGUCACUUAUAGAUGGAUCCGCGCCGCAUUAGCUAGUUGGUAAGGUAACGGCUUACCAAGGCGACGAUGUGUAGCCGACCUGAGAGGGUGAUCGGCCACACUGGAACUGAGACACGGUCCAGACUCCUACGGGAGGCAGCAGUAGGGAAUCUUCCGCAAAGGGCGAAAGCCUGACGGAGCAACGCCGCGUGAGUGAUGAAGGUCUUCGGAUCGUAAAACUCUGUUAUUAGGGAAGAACAAAUGUGUAAGUAACUAUGCACGUCUUGACGGUACCUAAUCAGAAAGCCACGGCUAACUACGUG
This 497-nucleotide ribosomal RNA is filed under the name uncultured bacterium. RNAcentral's name for it is "partial 16S ribosomal RNA". It matches the Rfam family "Bacterial small subunit ribosomal RNA", at positions 28 to 507 of the family's 1533-position model. The record is from RNAcentral.